AGAAUACUGGAGUGGGUAGCCAUUCCCUUCUCCAGGGAAUGAAGAAUCCCUUUCCAGGGUUGGAAUCCCUUUCCAACCUAGGGAUUGAACCGAGUCUCCUGCAUUGCAAGCAGAUUCUUUACCAUCUGAGCCACCAGGGAAGCCCCGUAUCUUCUCUAAUUUUUAGGCCACCAUCACAGAAGGGUUCUUUCCCACAAAGCACGUAAAUAUUGGUUUACAAUGGCCAGGGCUGUCUCUGCAGAGGAAAGAAAGAAGGGUGCUUGCUAUCCUUUCUCCUACCUCCAAAAGCCAUCACCCAGCCUAAGGUGAGGAGAGAUGGGGUGAGUGCCUGGGGUCUGGACAAUACAGAAGACAUGAGAGGAGAGAUGGGGCUAGAACAGAGCAUCCUAGGCAUCCUGGGAGACACUGAAGGCUCUCACGUGGGCAAGAGGCCAAGCUCAGGUUCAAGUCAGAGAAUACCAACGCCUAUUCUGUUAUUUCUACGAUGUGCUGGCACUCUCAAAAGGCGCAUCCAGUUUUGAUAUACGUAGGAUUCAUCUCCCAAAGAGGUUUAACCAGCAGCUGCUGGCAGGAAAUUCCCACCGCAAUGCUCUCUCUCCUCCCCUGUAACUAUUUAGGGUAAGCUGGGCUUGCAGGAUUGAAUCUCUGCUUCUCUGACUAGAACCUCAAAAUCCAAUGUACCCUCCCCCAACCCUUCUCCAUGGCUCGGAACCUAAGACUGAAACCAGAAAGCGGCAGGCAAACACUAUGCCUUUUUCUCUUCUAUUCUCUUCCACAGAUUCCCCCAACCAGGUGCACAUAAAGUAAAGAAAAGAUGCCCCAGAGACUCACUGGGGUGUGCUCUGGUUAUGCAAAUCCUCCCCAGUUCUUCCCUUUUGCUUUUACUUGUCCUGUAGUAAGACCAACCCUGAACGCAAGUGGAUUUGGCAACUUCCCAAACCAAGCCUUCUGCAGCCAAGCCACCCCCGGAGAUUUCUAAACAACAGGGGACUGGGUCCAGGAAGUCCUGUGGAGGCUGGUUUCUUCAUCUGAGGUGUCGUAUUCCAGAAGUCAACAAAUAUUGACCAAGCACCUGCUGAAGGCCAGGCACUACACCCACUGUGAGCAAGGCUCAGGCCUAGUCAACCACGGCUGCCAUUGUGAGAUGGGGGAGAAUGAACCCUUGUUCCAAGACAGUCACUGUCUACUGUCUGAAGAGUGACUUUUAUCUAAGAGGCCAGGAGAGGGCCCUGGCCAUUGGUGAAUGAGACCCGUCCCUGUGUCUUUGGCUGUAACUCAGCAUAGGGGCUGCUUCUUGGAGUGUUUAAAAAAAAAAAACAAAACUUCAAACCAUUUAUUGAGCACCCUCUACAUGCUGGGCAGGUGUCACACAGGUCGUCUCAUGGGUCCCCUCCAUAAGCCCAUGACGUGGAUUGACUCAGGAGGCAAGGGAGGCUCAGAGGCUUAAUGACAGCUGGAAAAUGGGAGGACCGAGGUUUUCAUCAGCACUUCCCCUCCCAUCACUCAUGAGAGAUGCAGAUGUGUGGACAGGAGUCAGGGCACUUAAUUCUCCUAUGGCAACAGCCCACCUACAGCUGCCCCUUCAUUCUUACAGCAAACAAUCUCAUAUGACCUGCCCCUUCCAGCCUACUCAGGCCCACCCAGGAGCUUGGGAGAGAUGCCUUCCAUGGAUCUGCCCACGAAGGCCCAGUUAUUGAAAGACACCUCAGAACACAUCGGAACUAAAGGAAGGUACAGAAGAUAAACCCUGGAAGAGGGUAGGGGUCAGAACACAGACAUGUGACAUUGCUCCUGGGCAAAGAGGAGAAGGGUGUGAUCAAAUUUUUGGUUUUGGAAAGCCAUCUGGACCAUGGGUUCCUUAUCUUUGCAUCCUCAUGUCCUGGAUAAAACUUGACAUACAGUAGGAACUCAAAAUCCAAGUACUGAAUGGGAGAAAAGGCAGGGGGCAGGUCCCCCAAGAGUGAGAGGCUUGGCCAAGAGGAUCCUGAAGGCCAGGUGCACUAGGGGGGAGGACUGAAUGAGUUGUUGAGGAGGAGCUGUUAUGGUUGCUGUUUGCUCCAUACAUGACCUGAUCUGAUCAUCCCUUUAGGUAACGGCCCAGAGGACAGGCCAGCAUACCCGAGGCUGGGCACUGACUGCAGCCAGGCGCUUCCACUGUGGGCCUUAAGUCCUGAAACCCAGGUCCCUCUGGACCAGCUUCUCUCAGACAGCUCCAUCCACUGUGAAAGUACCAAGCUUUGCAACACGUUCAGAUAUGGCUCCAAACAGCACUUAGGCAAGAGUAAUUAAAGGGAAUGUUAUCUCAGCCAGGCUCUCAUUAGCCACAUAAUUAGACUGCUGAAAAUAAUUAACAUUCCUUUUGACAAAGGAAGCAGAGGACCCAUUACAUUCAUUAGGACAGCCUCAAACCAGCCUGAGGAAGGCCCAGAAGAGGACUCAUCCCCUCCCAGGCCUGCACAAGACAGAGUCAGCAUCCAGGAUCCCAGACCAGGUGGCAAGUCCUGCCCUCGGCCAGGCUCCUGGGUGAGCAGAGAGAGAUGGCAAUGGAUGCCUUCGUGUACAUAUUACAGAUAAUAAUAAGACUCAUACAGCUCACUGAAGAAGAUUUGAAGGAAAUGUAUCACUGUAUCAAGAUGGCAGACCAGGGUCAACUGUGUACCUCCCCCAAGGCCCUUGAAAGUGACACAAAAGACAUUUUCUAAGAAGAAUAAAUCCAUCACAGCAAAAAACAAGAGGGAAUUCUAUCCUUGAAGAUGGAAGUAAAUGAUAAUAAACUGAUAGAGAAACCACAACCCCCACAAAUAAAACCAUGAAAAAUAAUAAUAACUGACAUUCAUACAGCACAUAUAUUGAACCCUCACAAAAAUCCUUUGAGACAGAGACUAUUAUUUUCCUCACUUUACCAAUAAGACCCAGAGUUCCAUAGCUUUCCCAAGGUCAUAGUGCUAGUAAGUGCCGGUGCUAGGAUUUUAACCCCAGCAGUGUGGCUAAGGAUUCUACAUUUGGGGGAAUGGCUCUGGGGGAUCCAGUUUGGAGCAAGCAGAUUAGGGGUCCCGGAGAGGCCCUGAGUGGUUGGUCAUGGGAUCUGGAGCAGCCAGGCAAGCAGCCCCUGGCCCACGUCUCCACCCAGCUGUCCCUCCACCAGGGACAUUAGGGCAUUGAGGCAAAGGGACACCUAGACAGUUCCUGCAUCCUGGCUUGAGAGCAUGUAAUCGGGAUUCAUGUAGAGGUGACCGAAAAACCUCAAAAUACAGAGAGAGAAACACAACCAAGACUCACCAAACAUUUGACAAAAACCAAAACAGCCAAAGAAGCACCAAAUUAGAGAAUACAAGUUCUAGCUAGAAAACAAAAUUAGUAAAGUCAACAGAAUGAAACGUUUGUCAAAAUAUGAUUAAUAGCCUCUGAGGGACAAGAAGGGCUCCUGAGUCCAUGAACCCAAAUGAGCCACUGCCAGAAGAAUGUCAAAGAUCUCAGAAAUGAAGGAACCACACUACGGUUAACUGGUUAUCUCUGGAUGAAAGAACAGAGUGACUUCAUUAAAAAUUUUCUUUCUAUAGCUCUAUUUUUCUAAAUGUCUUAUACCACACAUGUAUCACUUGUAGAAUCAGAAAAGUUUUUUUUUUUUUUUAAUGCCUGGUAUGAGGUAGGUGUUCAGUAAGGUGUAGAUCCUGCCACCUACAGCAACCCUUGGCCCCAUCCAGGCUGGUACAUAACUCGCCAUCCCACAGUCACUCCAUCCAUACUCUCAUCUCUGGGCCUUUGUGCACACCAUUCCCCUUCUGGAGUGCCCUUAUUUCUGUUUAUCCAGAUUUACCUGUCCUUCAAUGCCCACUCAGAGAUGACCCUUGUUAACGAAAGGUCCCUGCAUCAAUCUUACCUAAACCACUUUGAUCCCUCUCCCCCCAAAUUCCUAAGAGCCUCUAAUUCUCCAGGGUCACAGGAUAACUCUUGUUGAGUUGUCCUGUGGGGUCACAGUACUAAAGACUUACAUGUUCUUUACCUUUCAGUGACCAAGUC
This is a long non-coding RNA of Dama dama (fallow deer), 4020 nucleotides long. RefSeq lists it as uncharacterized. NCBI's taxonomy places the organism in Eukaryota, Metazoa, Chordata, Mammalia, Artiodactyla, Cervidae. The record is from RefSeq and is a predicted model, not a curated record. The transcript has 3 exons.